GGGCCCGCACAAGCGGUGGAGCAUGUGGUUUAAUUCGAUGCAACGCGAAGAACCUUACCUACUCUUGACAUCUACAGGAUCCUGCGGAGACGCGGGAGUGCCUUCGGGAACUGUAAGACAGGUGCUGCAUGGCUGUCGUCAGCUCGUGUUGUGAAAUGUUGGUUAAGUCCCCGCAACGAGCGCAACCCUUAUCCUUGUUUGCCAGCGAGUAAUGUCGGGAACUCCAGGGAGACUGCCGGUGAUAAACCGGAGGAAGGUGGGGACGACGUCAAGUCAUCAUGGCCCUUACGAGUAGGGCCUACACACGUGCUACAAUGGUAGAGACAGAGGGCAGCCACCUGGUGACAGGGAG
Molecule: ribosomal RNA, 352 nt
Filed under: uncultured bacterium
Lineage: Bacteria
Description: bacterial SSU rRNA
Rfam family: Bacterial small subunit ribosomal RNA
Source: RNAcentral